GACGAACCUUGCGAACGUUGUUCGGAAUCACUGGGCUUAAAGGGCGCGUAGGCGGGCUGACAAGUCUGGGGUGAAAUCCCGCGGCUCAACCGUGGAACUGCCUUAGAUACUGUCGGCCUCGAGGGAGGUAGGGGCGUGCGGAACUGUAGGUGGAGCGGUGAAAUGCGUUGAUAUCUACAGGAACUCCGGUGGCGAAAGCGGCGCGCUGGACCUCUUCUGACGCUGAGGCGCGAAAGCUAGGGGAGCAAACGGG
This 253-nucleotide ribosomal RNA is filed under the name uncultured bacterium. RNAcentral describes it as "partial 16S ribosomal RNA". It matches the Rfam family "Bacterial small subunit ribosomal RNA", at positions 524 to 776 of the family's 1533-position model. The record is from RNAcentral.